GAACGUUUGACAUCACUCUGGGACCAAGUUUUGAUGGAGACUCUUUGAGUUUCUAUCAAUACCUUUCACUGUACUUAGUUCCAAUUUAUAUUGCAAACAAGAUUAAUUUUAGGCGACUACUCACUAAGAUAUACCUUUUCUACCAUGGUUAUAUUAGUCCAUUUCACAGCCUUAAAU
The sequence is a small nucleolar RNA, 177 nucleotides long. It matches the Rfam family "Small nucleolar RNA snR80".